Molecule: ribosomal RNA, 440 nt
Filed under: uncultured Psychrobacter sp.
Lineage: Bacteria; Pseudomonadati; Pseudomonadota; Gammaproteobacteria; Moraxellales; Moraxellaceae
Description: bacterial SSU rRNA
Rfam family: Bacterial small subunit ribosomal RNA
Source: RNAcentral
GGAAUAUUGGACAAUGGGGGAAACCCUGAUCCAGCCAUGCCGCGUGUGUGAAGAAGGCCUUUUGGUUGUAAAGCACUUUAAGCAGUGAAGAAGACUCCGUGGUUAAUACCCACGGACGAUGACAUUAGCUGCAGAAUAAGCACCGGCUAACUCUGUGCCAGCAGCCGCGGUAAUACAGAGGGUGCAAGCGUUAAUCGGAAUUACUGGGCGUAAAGGGAGCGUAGGUGGCUCGAUAAGUCAGAUGUGAAAUCCCCGGGCUCAACCUGGGAACUGCAUCUGAUACUGUUGAGCUAGAGUAUGUGAGAGGAAGGUAGAAUUCCAGGUGUAGCGGUGAAAUGCGUAGAGAUCUGGAGGAAUACCGAUGGCGAAGGCAGCCUUCUGGCAUAAUACUGACACUGAGGCUCGAAAGCGUGGGUAGCAAACAGGAUUAGAUACCCGAG